AGGGAAGAGAGGGUGAGAAGCUGCUGGUCAGAGGAGGUUAUGCAACACGGGAGACAUUGGCAUAAUUUCUGCAGGGCUCUGGUUUGCAGAGUCAUUAGGAAACAGCCAGUGCCCUGCCUACACACAAAGUCUAGCCAAGCUUCUGGAGAGCAGUGUGGCUGGUGCUGGACUGUCAUGGGCACAAAUGUGUACCAGCAGUUGGGAAAAACUGGAGGAAGAGCUGGGAAUACAAUAGGCUGCUGAAGAAUAAAAUGCAGAUUUGCUAUCUCUAUUAUGGUCUUUGCCUGCGUGCCCUGAGCUCAUGGCCAAAGUCAGCGCUGUGUGAAAGCUAAGAAUUAAUUUCAUCUUCUCACUGAAGAUGGCCUCACCUAUGAAGACAAGCUGUACGAGUGCUUGGAGAAAGACAUUUUACAAGCGGCUGUAGUGAUAGGACAACGGGCAAUGUCUUCAAACUGGCAAAGGGCCGGUCUAGAUCAGAUAUCAGGAAGAAAUCAUUUGCUGUAAGCAAAUGGUUGAGGCACUGAAACAGAUUUCCCAGAGAGGCUGUAGAUGCCCUAUCUCUGAAAGUGUUUAAGGCCUGACUAGAUGGGCAACCUGGUCUAGUGAAAUGUGUCCCAUUCAGUGGCAGGGAAUUGGAACAACAUGGUCUUUACAGUCCCUUCCAACCCAAGCCUUUCUAUGACUCUAUGAUCCAAUUAUCCAUUGAAGAGGAGCAGGUAAAUGAGCAGCACUACCUCAUUUUCUACCGCAGCAUCUUACCUUAUGACACUUGGAAAGCUAUGUGUCAGAAAAAAGCAAAGAAUAAAUCAUGUAAGCCAGGGUGGGAAGACCUUUUGUGAUCUAUCAUGCUAUAGUUCAGCUACUGUGUGAUGAAAUGUAUAGGAUUUAUACAUUUGCUCUCCCACAGAGAGAGCAAAUACCAGGCUUUACUGGGCUGGCUGAGCAGGGCAACACCCAGAAGAGGGUCAGGCAGCCUGUGGAUCCCCUGAGCACUGCAUUUCAUUCCCCAUAGGACUUAAGCUGAGCUCUGAGAGGAAGGAUAGGAACACAAACACAGGAACUGGGAAGAGCAGCAAGAAGGAUUUGCAAUCCACAGGAGUCAGGAAUGGAAGUGCUCCUCUGAAGGCUUGGGCCCUGAAGGCUUGGGACAAAUUUUAUUUUAUAACCUGGGCCUUAAUAGUCAUCCCCCUACACUUCUUCUCUAUAACUGGUGUUUCAUACCAUCCUUUAGAGAGCUUCCCUAACCUGCUUGUUUUUGCAGAGGGGUUUUUUGCCCCUUUGUUACCUCCCUCUAUCCUUUGCAUUUGAAUGAUCUUGGCUGCAGACAUUUUAGCCAAUCACCCUCAGACUAAGAUCUACUCCAGGUUAGUCUUGUCCUGUCCAAACUAAAACUCCGUCUUGCCUUUGGCCCUUGAGGUAUCUGGCCAGCAAUUCUCCACCAGGCUGGCUGAAACAGAAUUUUCACUCUCCUUCCAUUCUUUCGUGUUCCCUUUUUUCACAGUUCUGGUUUUUUCUCCUCCUUCCCUCAGUCUGGCCAUCACCUCCGGUCUGAGUUUUAGUAAUGCUUGUAACCUCAGCACUGGUAUGGCACUUAAACUUUUUUCAUGAGGGUGGUCUUCAUGUUGUUUGCUUUCUUCCUGGACAACUUUAUAGAGUGUGUUGACAUGUUUCCUUCCCCAAAUGUGUCUAAAAGACUGAUUUGGCUGUCAGCCCAGACAAGGGCUACUCCACACUAUCCUUAGCCUUGCUCCAGCCUUUGUCAAGUGACCAUGGAGUGUUGUGACAGCAUCUCUGAGAUACAGUCUUUUGCUGUCUUCCAGCUAACUUUGUUAUCCAUACCGAGUUCUCGCAUGGUGUGACUCUGCUGUGCAACAACAUUUAGGACUGGCUAUUUGACAAGGGCUUUGCAUAUCAGCUUCCUCCUCCUGGUGCAGCCCAAGAGCAGAGAAACCACUGUGAGAUUUAGGGGACCAACCAGCACCAGAUUCUGUCUGUGAAGACGGCCAGUGGGGUGUGGUUGGAGUAGAUGGAGGAGCAGUGUAGGUAUAAAGCCACAUGUUUUCAGCAAUCUUUAAUCAAGAUUGAGCUCUGCUUAAUCUUACUCUGACCAAAGCAUCAUUUUGCCUAGUGGGCCUUGCUGUGUUGUACUUCCGUGAGAGAACCUGAUUGCCUUUGAUCCAUUCUGCAUUGUUUCGCAUCCCAGAAAUCCUAGUUAAUUAAUUCCUCAGAUUUACAGAGUCAUAGAGUGAGUAAGAUUGGAAAGGACCACAUUUGGUCCAGCCUUCCUGUUCGAGCAGUGUCAUCCUAGAGCACUUUGCAGAAGAUUGAGUCCAGAUGGUUCUUCCCUCCAAUGAGGGAGGCUCUUCAAUUCAUAAAGAGUACUUAAAUUUUCUUCAACCUGCUAUGUCAUUUCUUAAUUAAUAUGUUUUUGUUCCUAUACUGUAAAACAAAAACAAGUAAUCAUUUCCAAAUUACCUCAGUCACUGCAAAUGGUUUCUCAACACAUCAGUUUGUCUCCCUUGGCUGUCUUCUUUUCCUAUUCAUUUGAUUUUCCCUUUCCCCUUGUCCACUUCUUCUUAAUUCCACUGUACUUUCUCUGAGGAGGAAGGGAGAAAACAUGUAACUGAUCCCCAGUCCACUUUCCCACUUGGGGAUAACUGGUCUGAACACUUUUGCACAGUUAGAGCUUCUCCUUGUAAAUUACACCCACCCAAACUUUAAUUUGUCAUUUUAUCCCCCAGCUUUCAUUCUGAGAUCUUUCUCAUUUCCACUACACUGCAUUCCUCAGCCUCACCAUCAAACUUUUCCCCCUCACUGCUCACACACAGACCAUUUAUGAAUACAUCAAAAAUCACAAGCCCUAGCAUAGAUCCUGGUGGGACACACUGGUGUGCUCAAUUUUAAACACUGACCAUUUUCCAUUCAUUAUAUUCUGCCUUGCUGUGAACCAUGAGAAUAAGUAUGUUGUGGAGGAGAGCAAUUAAGGACAUUUGGAGAGGGAUCUUUCUGAAAAUGUUUUGGGCAUCCAGUAACAUCCAUCUGUACAGCCACAUUAAUUAAACUGGAUUCCUCACUCCUUUAAACAGCGA
Molecule: long non-coding RNA, 3089 nt
Filed under: Taeniopygia guttata (zebra finch)
Lineage: Eukaryota; Metazoa; Chordata; Aves; Passeriformes; Estrildidae
Description: lncRNA (ENSTGUG00000025344.1)
Source: RNAcentral